GGCGGGAACAGCCGUGGAGACGCGGUCGGCGCCGGACCACCAGGGACCGAUGCAGAUGCGGUCGGCGCCGGACCGCCAGGAACCGAUGCAGACGCGGUUGGCGCCAGACCGCCAGGAACCGAUGCAGACGCGGCCGGCGCGGGGCCGCCAGGAACCUAUGCAGACGCGGCCGGAGCCGGGCCGCCAGGAACCGCGGCGGGGACUGCGGCUGGCGCGGCCUCCUCCUGGAGGCGCGCGGGACUGCGGCUGGCGCGGCCUCCUCCUGGAGCGCGCGGGGACUGCGGCUGGCGCGACCUCCUCCUGCGCACGCCCGACGCGCUGGCGCGACCUCCCCUGGACGCGCGGACCGCUACUCCGAGGCUGACAGGAACGGGGGCUAGGACGACCUCUACGUGGCCGACAGGGACAGGAACGACCGCUACGGGACCGACAGGGACAGGAACGGCAUCUACUUGGCCGACAGGGACAGGAACGGCAUCUACUUGGCCGACAGGGACAGGAACGGCAUCUACUUGGCCGACAGGGACAGGAACGGCAUCUACUUGGCCGACAGGGACAGGAACGGCAUCUACUUGGCCGACAGGGACAGGAACGGCAUCUACUUGGCCGACAGGGACAGGAACUGAAACGGCAUCCUCACUAGAGUCGCAGAAGAUUGGAAAGAUUGGGAAAUUUGUGGCCGGCUCAUUGGUGUGUCCACCGGCCGUGGAGCUACAAACGCCGACGAGGGCCAUGGUUACUCGGCUGACGGAAUUACACCAGAGGAUUGCCCGGAUUGAAGGACUGAUCUGUAACAUCUCAGCCCGUUCGGAUGCCCGGAUUACAGGACUGACUAAUAAGAUCUCAGCCCGUACGGAGGAAGACAAGAGACUGAGAGAUAACAUCUGCAGACAGACUGAACACUUGGUGAAUAUGGUGACAGCCUUGUCUGACAGGCUUGAGGAGAUGUCACGGGCGACCCAUGGUCCCACAAGAGGCGAAGAAGCCCUGAGAUCUGACCGAUUGGAGUAUUGA
This 1014-nucleotide long non-coding RNA is filed under the name Betta splendens (Siamese fighting fish). Its description in RNAcentral is "lncRNA (ENSBSLG00000017397.1)". The record is from RNAcentral. Lineage: Eukaryota; Metazoa; Chordata; Actinopteri; Anabantiformes; Osphronemidae.